RNAcentral lists this ribosomal RNA (460 nucleotides) under uncultured bacterium. RNAcentral's name for it is "partial 16S ribosomal RNA". It matches the Rfam family "Bacterial small subunit ribosomal RNA", at positions 338 to 795 of the family's 1533-position model. The record is from RNAcentral.
CCUACGGGAGGCAGCAGUGAGGAAUAUUGGUCAAUGGGCGGAAGCCUGAACCAGCCAAGUAGCGUGCAGGAUGACGGCCCUACGGGUUGUAAACUGCUUUUAUACGGGAAUAACGCGCCUUACGUGUAGGGCUUUGCAUGUACCGUAUGAAUAAGGACCGGCUAAUUCCGUGCCAGCAGCCGCGGUAAUACGGAAGGUCCGGGCGUUAUCCGGAUUUAUUGGGUUUAAAGGGAGCGUAGGCCGCAUGUCAAGCGUGCUGUGAAAUGUCCGGGCUCAACCCGGGCCUUGCAGCGCGAACUGGCGUGCUUGAGUCCGCGGAAAGCAGGCGGAAUUCGUCGUGUAGCGGUGGAAUGCUUAGAUAUGACGAAGAACCCCGAUUGCGAAGGCAGCUUGCUGCAGCGGAACUGACGCUGAUGCUCGAAAGCGCGGGUAUCGAACAGGAUUAGAUACCUGUGUAGUC